GGACGUGAGGGCCAUCUGGCUGCGACCUCUGUCACCCCAUGGGUGGCCAGGGCUGGUUCCGGCUGAUCUGGCUGGCUGGGCGGGUGUCCCCUUCCUCCCUCCCUGUCCCUCCUGAAGUUGCCUGCUUGGUCGAAGAGGUGACCUUCCCCGAUAGAGGACUGUUCUUCAGUCAAGGGUAUGCGAGGAGCUGCGCUCCCCUGCCAGAACCUCCAAACACGCUCCCAGAUCCUGGCUCUCCAGUUGACUGAUCACGUGACUCUGGGCAGGCCACUUAAUUAGCCUAGGCCUCGGUUUUCUCAUCUGUGAAAUGGGAGAUAAAAC
RNAcentral lists this small RNA (321 nucleotides) under Prolemur simus (greater bamboo lemur). Its description in RNAcentral is "7SK RNA (ENSPSMG00000013889.1)". It matches the Rfam family "7SK RNA". Rfam says of the family: 7SK was discovered as an abundant small nuclear RNA in the mid-70s but a possible function has only recently been suggested. Two independent studies have found that 7SK RNA binds the CDK9/cyclin T complex (known as elongation factor P-TEFb). P-TEFb activates transcription by phosphorylating the C-terminal domain of RNA polymerase II. Lineage: Eukaryota; Metazoa; Chordata; Mammalia; Primates; Lemuridae. The record is from RNAcentral.